This 405-nucleotide ribosomal RNA is filed under the name uncultured bacterium. RNAcentral describes it as "partial 16S ribosomal RNA". It matches the Rfam family "Bacterial small subunit ribosomal RNA", at positions 29 to 526 of the family's 1533-position model. The record is from RNAcentral.
AUUGAACGCUGGCGGCAGGCCUAACACAUGCAAGUCGAGCGAGCGGCGGACGGGUGAGUAAUGUCUGGGAAACUGCCUGAUGGAGGGGGAUAACUACUGGAAACGGUAGCUAAUACCGCAUACCAUCAGAUGUGCCCAGAUGGGAUUAGCUAGUAGGUGGGGUAAUGGCUCACCUAGGCGACGAUCCCUAGCUGGUCUGGGAGGAUGACCAGCCAACCUGGAACUGGGACACGGGCCAGACUCCGACGGGAGGCAGCGGUGGGGAAUGUUGAACAAUGGGCGCAAGCCUGAGGCAGCCAGGCCGCGUGUGUGAAGAAGGCCUUCGGGUUGUAAAGCACUUUCAGCGGGGAGGCGUUACCCGCAGAGGAAGCACCGGCUAACUCCGUGCCAGCAGCCGCGUAAUAC